RNAcentral lists this ribosomal RNA (169 nucleotides) under uncultured bacterium. RNAcentral's name for it is "partial 16S ribosomal RNA". It matches the Rfam family "Bacterial small subunit ribosomal RNA", at positions 338 to 524 of the family's 1533-position model. The record is from RNAcentral.
CCUACGGGAGGCAGCAGUAAGGAAUUUUCCACAAUGGGCGAAAGCCUGAUGGAGCAACGCCGCGUGCAGGAUGAAGGCCCUAGGGUUGUAAACUGCUUUUAUAUGUGACGAAUAUGACGAUAGCAUAUGAAUAAGGAUCGGCUAACUCCGUGCCAGCAGCCGCGGUAAU